RNAcentral lists this ribosomal RNA (497 nucleotides) under uncultured bacterium. Its description in RNAcentral is "partial 16S ribosomal RNA". It matches the Rfam family "Bacterial small subunit ribosomal RNA", at positions 28 to 507 of the family's 1533-position model. The record is from RNAcentral.
GAUGAACGCUGGCGGCGUGCCUAAUACAUGCAAGUCGAGCGAACAGAUGAGGAGCUUGCUCCUCUGACGUUAGCGGCGGACGGGUGAGUAACACGUGGAUAACCUACCUAUAAGACUGGGAUAACUUCGGGAAACCGGAGCUAAUACCGGAUAAUAUAUUGAACCGCAUGGUUCAAUAGUGAAAGACGGUUUUGCUGUCACUUAUAGAUGGAUCCGCGCCGCAUUAGCUAGUUGGUAAGGUAACGGCUUACCAAGGCAACGAUGCGUAGCCGACCUGAGAGGGUGAUCGGCCACACUGGAACUGAGACACGGUCCAGACUCCUACGGGAGGCAGCAGUAGGGAAUCUUCCGCAAUGGGCGAAAGCCUGACGGAGCAACGCCGCGUGAGUGAUGAAGGUCUUCGGAUCGUAAAACUCUGUUAUUAGGGAAGAACAAACGUGUAAGUAACUAUGCACGUCUUGACGGUACCUAAUCAGAAAGCCACGGCUAACUACGUG